RNAcentral lists this long non-coding RNA (548 nucleotides) under Homo sapiens (human). Its description in RNAcentral is "BCL2 like 14 (ENSG00000281449.2)". Lineage: Eukaryota; Metazoa; Chordata; Mammalia; Primates; Hominidae. The record is from RNAcentral.
AAGCCUCUUUUCAGGCUGAGUCCUAAACCUGAAGAAAGUUUAGAGCCUGGGGCUCUAAACUACCUGAGUCUUUCCAAACGACAAGCCAAGAAGACCUGUUGAAAGUUUCCUCUUAAGUUUCGUGGAGAGAGACUCAGGUAUAGAAAUAUCCUUACUGCCACCUGACCUGAAGCAGAAGAAAUCACAGACAGCUUCCAGACCAGGGACACCACUGCCCAAGCUGGAGACCACGAGGAUUCAGGGACUGAAGCCAGCAUGGGAAUUCCUGGUUUGAGAUCAGAGUCCUGAGUACCUCGUGGGAACUUGGGCACUCAUCCGCAGGAGGUCUAGACCCCCAGAGAAUUCCUUGAGUCUAAGGCACAGGUAAAUGGAAGACCCUUCUCUCUCCUCUCUCCCCUCUAGAAAGCUCCCUCCUCCCUGAGCUCCCUGUCCCCUUCUUUCCACAAUCAGAGCCUCGGACCUUCUGUUUGGUGAAUAUGACCUGAGGCUCUGUCUAGCAUUCAGCUUCUAUUGUGGGAAGUUAAGGCACUUUCUCUCAUUCCUCAUUU